UUGGAGGGCAAGUCUGGUGCCAGCAGCCGCGGUAAUUCCAGCUCCAAUAGCGUAUAUUAAAGUUGUUGCAGUUAAAAAGCUCGUAGUUGAAUUUCGGGAUCAAUUUGCUGGUCGUGCCUUUGGUACGCACUGGUAUUAUUGGUUUCUCCUUUCUGAAGAAUCACGAUGUCAUUAAUUUGGUGUCGUGAGGAAUCAGGACUGUUACUUUGAAAAAAUUAGAGUGUUUAAAGCAGGCUCACGCUUGAAUACAUUAGCAUGGAAUAAUGAAAUAGGACGUUUGAUUCUAUUUUGUUGGUUUCUAGGAUUGACGUAAUGAUUAAUAGGGAUAGUUGGGGGCAUUAGUAUUCAAUUGUCAGAGGUGAAAUUCUUGGAUUUAUUGAAGACUAACUACUGCGAAAGCAUUUGCCAAGGAUGUUUUCAUUAAUCAAGAACGAAAGUUAGGGGAUCGAAGACGAUCAGAUACCGUCGUAGUCUUAACCAUAAACUAUGCCGACUAGGGAUCGGAUGAUGUUAAUUUUUUAAUGACUCAUUCGGCGCCUUACGGGAAAC
RNAcentral lists this ribosomal RNA (549 nucleotides) under uncultured Glomeromycotina. Its description in RNAcentral is "SSU rRNA". It matches the Rfam family "Eukaryotic small subunit ribosomal RNA", at positions 548 to 1098 of the family's 1831-position model. Lineage: Eukaryota; Fungi; Glomeromycota. The record is from RNAcentral.